GUCCACGCCGUAAACGAUGGAUACUUGGUGUUGGAGGUAUUGACCCCUUCAGUGCCGAAGCUAACGCGUUAAGUAUCCCGCCUGGGAAGUACGGUCGCAAGAUUAAAACUCAAAGAAAUUGACGGGGGCCCGCACAAGCGGUGGAGCAUGUGGUUCAAUUCGAUGCAACGCGAAGAACCUUACCUAGAUUUGACAUGUACUGGAAGACUACCAGAGAUGGUGUCGCCUUCGGGCCGGUACACAGGUGCUGCAUGGCUGUCGU
RNAcentral lists this ribosomal RNA (262 nucleotides) under uncultured bacterium. RNAcentral's name for it is "partial 16S ribosomal RNA". It matches the Rfam family "Bacterial small subunit ribosomal RNA", at positions 793 to 1055 of the family's 1533-position model. The record is from RNAcentral.